RNAcentral lists this small RNA (1301 nucleotides) under Arabidopsis thaliana (thale cress). Its description in RNAcentral is "[] (AT4G31408)". The record is from RNAcentral. Lineage: Eukaryota; Viridiplantae; Streptophyta; Magnoliopsida; Brassicales; Brassicaceae.
AGCUUAUCAGAAAGCGUCAUAAUUUUCUUAGAAUUUUGUUCUGCCUUCUUGAUUCUUUGUUUGGCAUAUUUCUCUCGAUCGCUUUAUCAUGACGGAAGACGAUUUGGAGCGACAAAUCCAUUGUAAGUAAUCUUCCAAUUCUCUUGAUUUCUAGUGUUUCUAAAUUUAAAUAUCAUCAACUCUUUCUCUGUUUCGCAUGUUUCUGUCGAUCGAAACAUUUAUGGCCGAAGAAGAUUUGUAGCGAUAACCACUGUAAGAAUUCUUCUAAUCCACUUGAUUUCUAGGGUUUCUAAAUUUUGCUAUUAUCAUGUUUUUGUUUGGUUCUCUUUUCGUUUUGCAAAACCAAACGAAUCGCGACUCUGCGUUUCAAAGUUUCUGUGAAUUAAAGAUUGUUGCUUUCUUCCUUUUUGUGUUAGGUUUUGGUUUUCGUUUUGUUUUUUUUGUACCGCUUUAUUGUUGCGAUCGGUUGUGGUUUUGUUGCUCUUGUUUUGCUGUUUUGUUUGUUUGAUUUCUUCAUUGUUUUGUUUUUCUUUCAAACCCAAGAGAAAUCAUAGGCAGACACUCAACUAUUAGUGUUCUGUCAGAUUCUUUCUUGGGGACAUUGUCCCGUCAAGUUGGCUUAUGAGGGAUUUUGACCUGAGACUGAAAACCGAUCUUUUACCCACGGCUUAUUAUUUUGACAAAUAUACUUGGAAUUGGUUUCAGUUUACUGGUCAAAGAUCAAGUUACCCACGGCUUAAAACUUUAGUCUUUAGACUUAGACUUGAGACUGAACAUUGAUCCUUCUUUGUACCCAUGGCUUUAAAAUCUCUAGACAUAUGGAUCAUGUUCAGUUUCUUGUUUCAGUUUUUAGACAAAGCUCAAGUUACCCACGGCUUAAAAAAGUCUUUAGACAGAGACGGCUUAAGAAAGUCUUUAGACAGAGACUUAAGGGACAAAAUUCGGAUUGGGUUAUGUUUGGUGCAAGGAAAAGAGGGUACCCACGGCUUCAAACACACAUUGAUCCUUGAUUCGAACUUUAGACAAUUACCCACGGCUUUAGAAAUAAAAGUCUGAACAUUGAUCUUGUUUGGUACCCGCGGCUUUAAAAUCUAUAGACAUAUGGAUCAUGUUCGGUUUCUUGUUUCAAUCUUUAGACAAAGAUUAAGUUACCCACGACUUAAAAAAUUCUUCAGACAGAGACUUGAGGUUCGAAAACACCAAUCUUUAGACAAAAUACUGGAUUGGGUUAUGUUUGGUGAAAGGAAUGGCACGGCUUCAAACUUUAGUCUUUAGAUUGAGACUUGAGACUGAACAUUGAU